This 247-nucleotide long non-coding RNA is filed under the name Marmota monax (woodchuck). Lineage: Eukaryota; Metazoa; Chordata; Mammalia; Rodentia; Sciuridae. The record is from RNAcentral.
CCCAUUAUGGGAAGAAGCACCCCGGCAUGAAGGUGAAGGCUGCUGACUUCGCGCAGGACAUCGACAUCAACCCAGGUGCCGUCUACAAAUGCAGGCAUUGUCCCUACAUCAACACUCGCAUCCACGGUGUCCUGACUCACUACCAGAAGCGACAUCCGGCCAUCAAGGUGACCGCGGAGGACUUUGUGCACGACGUGGAGCAGUCUGCGGACAUAACCCAGAACGACAUGGAGGAGACGAGCAGGAU